This 1134-nucleotide ribosomal RNA is filed under the name uncultured Flavobacteriaceae bacterium. RNAcentral's name for it is "bacterial SSU rRNA". It matches the Rfam family "Bacterial small subunit ribosomal RNA", at positions 395 to 1533 of the family's 1533-position model. Lineage: Bacteria; Pseudomonadati; Bacteroidota; Flavobacteriia; Flavobacteriales; Flavobacteriaceae. The record is from RNAcentral.
UGCCGCGUGAAGGAAGACGGCCUUAUGGGUUGUAAACUUCUUUUAUACAGGAAGAAACCUUUCCACGUGUGGAAAGUUGACGGUACUGUAAGAAUAAGGAUCGGCUAACUCCGUGCCAGCAGCCGCGGUAAUACGGAGGAUCCAAGCGUUAUCCGGAAUUAUUGGGUUUAAAGGGUCCGCAGGCUGUUUGUUAAGUCAGAGGUGAAAUCCUACCGCUCAACGGUAGAACUGCCUUUGAUACUGGCAAACUUGAGUUAUUGUGAAGUAGUUAGAAUGUGUAGUGUAGCGGUGAAAUGCAUAGAUAUUACACAGAAUACCGAUUGCGAAAGCAGAUUACUAACAAUAUACUGACGCUGAGGGACGAAAGCGUGGGUAGCGAACAGGAUUAGAUACCCUGGUAGUCCACGCCGUAAACGAUGGUCACUAGCUGUUCGACGUACAUUGGUACGUUGAGUGGCUAAGCGAAAGUGAUAAGUGACCCACCUGGGGAGUACGCUCGCAAGAGUGAAACUCAAAGGAAUUGACGGGGGCCCGCACAAGCGGUGGAGCAUGUGGUUUAAUUCGAUGAUACGCGAGGAACCUUACCAGGACUUAAAUGUAAGUUGCAUGAUUCAGAAAUGAGUCUUUCUUCGGACUACUUACAAGGUGCUGCAUGGUUGUCGUCAGCUCGUGCCGUGAGGUGUCAGGUUAAGUCCUAUAACGAGCGCAACCCCUAUCGUUAGUUGCCAUCAAGUAAAGUUGGGAACUCUAGCGAAACUGCCGGUGCAAACCGUGAGGAAGGUGGGGAUGACGUCAAAUCAUCACGGCCCUUACGUUCUGGGCUACACACGUGCUACAAUGGUCGGUACAGAAAGCAGCCACUAUGCGAAUAGGAGCUAAUCUUUAAAACCGAUCUCAGUUCGGAUCGCAGUCUGCAACUCGACUGCGUGAAGCUGGAAUCGCUAGUAAUCGGAUAUCAGCCAUGAUCCGGUGAAUACGUUCCCGGGCCUUGUACACACCGCCCGUCAAGCCAUGGAAGCUGGGGGUACCUAAAGUCGGUGACCGAAAGGAGCUGCCUAGGGUAAAACUAGUAACUGGGGCUAAGUCGUAACAAGGUAGCCGUACCGGAAGGUGCGGCUGGAAUACCUCCUUUCU